Molecule: RNA transcript, 2548 nt
Organism: Populus euphratica (Euphrates poplar)
Lineage: Eukaryota; Viridiplantae; Streptophyta; Magnoliopsida; Malpighiales; Salicaceae
Exons: 12
Source: RefSeq, a predicted model, not a curated record
UGAAAUGGAGAAUCCUUUGUGGCCUUUCCCUUUUUUCUUUCCUCCUCCUGUUUCAGUCUCUGGAGAACUCUGUAAAUUUACUCCUUCGACACGUGUUAGGAUUCCUGUUUCUUGUUUUGCAUGUUUUGAAGGAUUGGCGAUGUGUGAGAUAUUACAAGAGAUGAUAUGUGAUCUGUUCUGGUUUCUUUAGAUAUGUUUGAUUGGAACGACGAAGAGAUUACGAACAUAAUAUGGGGUGAGACUGACAAUAGUGAUGACCAUAUUGUGCCGUUUCCAGACGCAAGCGAAGAUUAUUGCAAGAAAAAAGAAUCUAGUGGAGAAGCUGGUACCAUUAAUUCUGGUGCGCAGAAAGCAGCCGGGGCUAAAGUUGAUAUUGAUGGCAGAAAGUUGGAGAGUAGUUCAAACUUUGACACCAGUGAAGGAACUUCUGCCUCAGGAGUCGAUAUCGACCGAUGGCCUAGCUUGUCGUUAUCUAAUGCUGCCGAAACUGAUCAGGAUUCCUUUGGCACUUCAAUGUCUAACAGUUUAACUGACAUUACCAAACUUGAUUCAUCAGCAGGUGGUAAAGAACAAGGUGAUUUUGUUGAUUAUGGCUGGGCUAGCAUUGGAAGCUUUGAUGAUCUUGAUCGGAUUUUCAGCAAUGGUGACCCAAUAUUUGGCAAUGUAAAUCUUGGCGAUGCUGAUGACCUAUGGUCUUCUUCUAAAGAUAUAACUAACAGUCCGGUGAAGCCCUUUCCAAUAUCCAUGGCUUCAAGACAAGAGUAUGCACAAGAAGAUGACCCGCUGUUUACCCUUGGCUAUGGAAAAAUGAACGAUCCUGCAUCUCGUGGUCUGCAGAAUACACAGACAGAUUUGGCCAUUGUGGGAAAGAACACAACAACUAGCUCUCAGCUGACUGCAGAAAAUGUGGUGCUGCCAAAUGAAUUAACAAAUAAGGUUUACAGGCAAAAGAAGCUAUUGAAAGGUCGGAAAAAAUUGGAAGAAAAAGGUGAACUGAAAUCGUACCAAGAUUUUAAUGGAAACUGGACUCCAUCUGGAAUCCAAGCCGGUCAAUUUAAGAAUCAGUUUGCACCCCAAAUUAUGCAAUCUUGCCCCCCUUCGAUUCUCAGCCAACAGAAUCAGCUCCAGGGACCUGACCAGUUGCAGUACCAGCAAAUAUCGAAUCCAUUUGUGGCUCCUUCUGCAUAUGGGAGCAUGACAAAUCCAUAUUCCACGCCUGUGUUGUCUCAUUUUCAGUCCGGGGAAUUUAAGCAUCAACCUUUAGCUUCUGGUUAUGAAUUUUCUUCAGUUUCUUCAGGCAUUGCAAAUCCUAUAAUCAACUUAGAUGACUGUCCAGUGAACCAGAGAAUGACACCUCAGGAAAAAAUUGAAAAAUUAAGGAGGCGGCAACAAAUUCAGGCAAUGAUUGCCAUUCAGAAACAGCAGCAGCAGCUUGUUCAUCAAAAAUGUUCUCAAGAAAAUCAAAUUCAGCAUGUUGAAGGAGCUGAACUAGAAGUAGAGGAUCUAAGUACUCUUGCUUCAUUCGACCCAAACUCGCCCGUUGAGCAAGAUGAUUCCAAUACAAUCUCUCUGGCAGUUAAUGAUUACUCAAUGGAGGACACAAUACUCUACAGGCUUCAAGAUAUGAUUUCAAAGCUGGAUGUCAGAAUUAGACUCUGUAUUCGGGAUAGCAUGUUCCGGUUAGCUCAGAGUGCAAUGCACAGGCAUUAUGGUAGUGAUACUAGCAGUACAAACAAUAGUAGCGGGGGUGAACAAGUUGCCAUGAAAGAGGAAACCAGGAUGGUUAAGAUGCCUGAAGUGGAAACAGAUACCAACCCCAUAGACCGGACUGUGGCCCAUUUGCUGUUUCACAGACCAGUGGAUUUCGCAGGGAAACAUCCUGAGACACCUGAAUCACCUGUUUCUACUAAGCUCCCGUGUGAGCACAAGACAGUGGGCAUAGCAAAACUGUCAAUGGGAAGCUUGCCUGACUCUCCAAAAAGUAAACCGAACUUUUCUCAACAGGGUUCUAAACUUUCUAGUCUCUUGACCAAUUUCCAGCCAGCCGGUCAUUGUAAAAGCAAUCCUUGUUUAGACACAUCGGAGGAUGCAUCAAACAAUGGACCUGCAGAUGAAGUAGCUAGGGAGGUUAAAGCCUCUGAAUGAAGCCCAUUGGAUCACCAUCAAAUGAGGGUCACAGAUUAAACACCAAUAUUGCCGAGGAUUCAUCAACGUCAUUGGCAGGCAGCGUAACGUAGCAUUUGUGGAUUUGAAAGUAUUGUGGUCUAUAUAGCUACAUAUCUACUACCACCAGAACUUCCUGAAUUCUCAAGAUGAUGACUUUUAAGUGUAUGCUUUUAUCCUUCUGCUAAUUAUGUGGAAGGGUGAUACGCCAAUAAUUAUUAGCAGAUUUAUAUGUGCCUACCCUCUGAGUGACAUUGGCCUCUUUCCCUUGUUUCUGAGUUGUGAUUCCAAAACACAUUCAUCUUUGUUAUGAACUUACUAUGGGUUUGAGUAUAAAAGUUUGUUCUUCCUCUGCUACCAAUUAUGGGCAAAUGGAACUUGGGUU